RNAcentral lists this transfer RNA (64 nucleotides) under Nippostrongylus brasiliensis. Lineage: Eukaryota; Metazoa; Nematoda; Chromadorea; Rhabditida; Heligmosomidae. The record is from Rfam by way of RNAcentral.
AUCUCAGUGGUUAGUGCACAGCCACUGAUAGGUCGAGACGCGGGUUCGAAUCCCGCCUGAGAUG